GGAGAGAUGGCCGAGUGGUCGAAGGCAACCGAUUGCUAAUCGGUUGAGGGGUAAAAAACCCCUCCCAGGGUUCGAAUCCCUGUCUCUCCG
RNAcentral lists this transfer RNA (90 nucleotides) under Caldifarciminota bacterium. RNAcentral describes it as "tRNA-Ser". It matches the Rfam family "tRNA". Rfam says of the family: Transfer RNA (tRNA) molecules are approximately 80 nucleotides in length. Their secondary structure includes four short double-helical elements and three loops (D, anti-codon, and T loops). RNAcentral also lists the same sequence under 1 other name. Lineage: Bacteria; Pseudomonadati; Caldifarciminota. The record is from RNAcentral.